RNAcentral lists this long non-coding RNA (590 nucleotides) under Homo sapiens (human). RNAcentral describes it as "HSALNT0339752". Lineage: Eukaryota; Metazoa; Chordata; Mammalia; Primates; Hominidae. The record is from RNAcentral.
UUCCCAUAUAUUCAAUAGCUGGUGUGUAUUUCAUUCUCAGAGCUCAUCUCAGCUUGGACCAGACACAUUUCGAGUGCUUGGUAGCCUCAGUGACCAGUGGCUGCUUCACUGGAGAGUACCAGUUCCAGAUCAUCUGGGUCUUUUACAUGCAUCGUUGGAUUGCAGUCUCAAGCCUGGGAUUCCAACGGAAUUAACGUCCAUUGAAAACUUACUGUGCUCAAGGCACAGAACGGGGUAGUUUUAUACACAUUCUCCCAUUUGGAUUUUUCAAAGACAACAUCUAAUCAUCCCCAGAGAAAUUUCAGCUGAGAAGACAGGAUGAUGAAGUGCCCUGGGGGCCAGAGUCCAGACAAGUAUUUUGGCACCUCCAAGGACUCGCAGAACACAGAGAGGAAAAGAGAGACCCUGUUAUCUUUCCGCAGGGGUGGCCGUUCAAACUCUCAGAGAUGGAAGUUAAGAUUUCCUUUGGUAUAAGUGGCAGUUUGACUGGCUGCAAGGAGAGCCUCAGUUUGUUUAAUUUGGAGUAAAAUUUUAUGAGUUAAUCUCUAGUGAGGGAAAGCAGCAGUAAACACAGAACAUACUGGUCAUUA